Small nuclear RNA from Otolemur garnettii (small-eared galago), 107 nucleotides. NCBI's taxonomy places the organism in Eukaryota, Metazoa, Chordata, Mammalia, Primates, Galagidae. The record is from Ensembl.
AUGCUCGCUUCGGCAGCACCUACGCUAACGUUGGAAGGAUCCAGAGAAGAUUAGCACUGCCCCUGCGCAAGGGAGGCGCGCAAGUUCUUGAAGCAUUCCAUGUUUUU